UACGUAGGUGGCGAGCGUUGUCCGGAUUUAUUGGGCGUAAAGCGCGCGCAGGCGGUCUGUUACGUCCGUUGUGAAAGCUCCCGGCUCAACUGGGAGAGGUCUUCGGAUACGGGCGGACUCGAGGAAGGUAGAGGAAGGUGGAAUUCCCGGUGUAGUGGUGAAAUGCGUAGAGAUCGGGAGGAACACCAGUGGCGAAGGCGGCUAUCUGGCCCGUAAUUGACGCUGAGGCGCGAAAGCGUGGGGAGCAAACAGG
RNAcentral lists this ribosomal RNA (253 nucleotides) under uncultured bacterium. RNAcentral's name for it is "partial 16S ribosomal RNA". It matches the Rfam family "Bacterial small subunit ribosomal RNA", at positions 524 to 776 of the family's 1533-position model. The record is from RNAcentral.